CUGAGCCUGCAUUCUAGAGCCCAGAAGACAAAGCAAGAGAAGGCCCCACAACCAGAGGCCUGAGCACUGCAAUAGAGAAACUCCACGCACAACAAUGAAGACCCAGUACAGCCCCAAAGUUUUUUACAUUAAAAAAAAAAGACUUGCAGACUGUAAUUGAGAUACUCAGAGAUGGCAAAAUCCAGAAGUCAUGCAAUGAGGAUGUUGCAGAAUUGAGCACAAAAAUUAGGAAAUGGUAAAGGGUACGUUUCCGUUUAGACGACAAAGUUUAACUCUACAUUUUUUGUUCCAUGGCUAUUAUUAACUAGACACUUACUCUUUGUAUAGCUCUAGACUGGCGGCUCUAGGGAGGAUAGUAAUGUCUGGCAGAUGCAAUCAGUGAUCCCAAAUUGCUUGCCAUUGAGUUGCAUGGAUACCAAGGAUAUAGAAGAACACUAAACAGCAACUCAAGGAGGAGUGUGAAGAAGACCGGGUGAGAUGCUGUGAGACCAGAGUGGAUCUGAAAAAAGGUUGUGAUGCUUGACUUUCCCAGGACAGGAGACACAGGUAGAACUGAGUCGAAGAGGCAGAAACGGGUGUGAUCUGGUGGGAGCAGGAGGCGGCUACUCUAGGUGAAACAGAAAUAGUACUUGGCAGUCACACUGGAAAUGGAGCUGGGGUCAGAUUUUGGAAGAACUUGAGUGACAAUGUAAGAUGAUUCAACUUUUUCCAAUAGACAGCAGGAGCCACGGAACGGUUGUGAGCAGGAGAGCACAAUCCCACAGGUAGCAUUUUGCCAAGGCAGAAGCCAGGGAGGGCCCAGCCCCAGGGGUCAUUCUCACGCCUGAGGGUUUCUGGCUCAGCCCUCGUCUGUUCCUGCUUCUUUGACUCUUGGGCUGUGGGCUCGCUGUCAGUGGAGUGCUGGAAGGUAAGACGGAGAACGAUAUUAAAGAAAAGUUUCUAGGAGGGGGUGACAUAGCUAUUCGUGUGAUG
RNAcentral lists this long non-coding RNA (972 nucleotides) under Bos grunniens (domestic yak). RNAcentral's name for it is "lncRNA (ENSBGRG00000000196.1)". Lineage: Eukaryota; Metazoa; Chordata; Mammalia; Artiodactyla; Bovidae. The record is from RNAcentral.